This 467-nucleotide ribosomal RNA is filed under the name uncultured bacterium. RNAcentral's name for it is "partial 16S ribosomal RNA". It matches the Rfam family "Bacterial small subunit ribosomal RNA", at positions 28 to 507 of the family's 1533-position model. The record is from RNAcentral.
GAUGAACGCUGGCGGCGUGCUUAACACAUGCAAGUCGAACGGAAAGGCCCAAGCUUGCUUGGGUACUCGAGUGGCGAACGGGUGAGUAACACGUGGGUGAUCUGCCCUGCACUUCGGGAUAAGCCUGGGAAACUGGGUCUAAUACCGGAUAGGACCACUUCUUGGAUGUUGUGGUGGAAAGUUUUUUCGGUGUGGGAUGAGCUCGCGGCCUAUCAGCUUGUUGGUGGGGUAAUGGGCUACCAAGGCGUCGACGGGUAGCCGGCCUGGGAGGGUGUACCGGCACAUUGGGGCUGAGAUACGGGCCAGACGCCUACGGGAGGCAGCAGUGGGGAAAAAUGCACAAUGGGGGCAAGCCUGAUGGAGCGACGCCGCGUGGGGGGUGACGGCCUUCGGGUUGGAAACUCCUUUCGCUAGGGACGAAGCGUUUUGUGACGGUACCUGGAGAAGAAGCACCGGCUAACUACGUG